UUCUCAUAUAUUACAUCCCUGAAUGCAUCUAGUUUCAUCUGACCUUAGAAGCUAAGCAGAGUCAGGCCUGGCUAGUACUUGAAUGGGAGACUCCAAUCUUUCUAAGCUGUUUGAAGAA
This 118-nucleotide ribosomal RNA is filed under the name Microtus ochrogaster (prairie vole). Lineage: Eukaryota; Metazoa; Chordata; Mammalia; Rodentia; Cricetidae. The record is from RNAcentral.